Molecule: ribosomal RNA, 348 nt
Filed under: uncultured bacterium
Lineage: Bacteria
Description: partial 16S ribosomal RNA
Rfam family: Bacterial small subunit ribosomal RNA
Source: RNAcentral
GCUACGGGCGGCAGCAGUGAGGAAUAUUGGUCAAUGGGCGGGAGCCUGAACCAGCCAAGUCGCGGGAGGGAAGACGGCCCUAUGGAUUGUAAACCUCUUUAGGCAGGGAGCAAUGCCGGGCACGCGUGCCCGGAGGGAGAGUACCCGCAGAAUAAGCAUCGGCUAACUCCGUGUCAGCAGCCGCGGUAAUACGGAGGAUGCGAGCGUUAUCCGGAUUGAUUGGGUUUAAAGGGUGCGUAGGCGGAUUUUUAAGUCAGCGGUAAUAUGGUCGGGCUAAACCCGGGCCGGCCGUUGCAACUGGGGAUCUUGAGUGGGCGAGAAGUAUGCGGAAUGCGUGGUGUAGCGGUG